UUAACUCAUUAAUCAUAAAAAUGGCUCUCCAAGAAAAACUAGACUGGAUACAUCCGGAUAUAGGGUCAUAAUUAAAAAUGAAAGCAAAACAGGCUUCCCUAAAAGCACUGAAUUUCUUAGUUCAAACACAUAGCGUGGUUGAUAAUGAAAGUAAAACUGCUGACAUGUAUCGAUAUGGAAGAGCUUCGAGAUUUUUAUCACUGACCAUCUGG
RNAcentral lists this long non-coding RNA (212 nucleotides) under Octodon degus (degu). RNAcentral describes it as "DLG2 antisense RNA 1 conserved region 1 (ENSODEG00000022725.1)". It matches the Rfam family "DLG2 antisense RNA 1 conserved region 1". The record is from RNAcentral. Lineage: Eukaryota; Metazoa; Chordata; Mammalia; Rodentia; Octodontidae.